GAUUUCUGGCUUGAAACAUUCUACCAGCCACGGUUUCGUGUGUUCGUGUAGUAUGUUCUGGCCAUCCUUCCAAUUGCUAUGCUACUUUUCUUCAUUGAUUGGUACAUAGUAUUGGAUCUUUUACUUUGAAAAAAUUAGAGUGUUUCAAGCAGGCUUAAUGCUAUGAAUACAUUAGCAUGGAAUAAUAAUUUAGGACUUCGGUCUUAUUUUGUUGGUUUCUAGGACUGAAGUAAUGAUUGAUAGGGAUAGUUGGGGGUGCUAGUAUUCAGUGGCCAGAGGUGAAAUUCUUGGAUUCACUGAAGACUAACUUAUGCGAAAGCAUU
RNAcentral lists this ribosomal RNA (323 nucleotides) under uncultured Rhogostoma. Its description in RNAcentral is "bacterial SSU rRNA". It matches the Rfam family "Eukaryotic small subunit ribosomal RNA", at positions 634 to 955 of the family's 1831-position model. The record is from RNAcentral. Lineage: Eukaryota; Cercozoa; Thecofilosea; Cryomonadida.